CCUCCUCGCGGAUUCCUUCUUCCAAACCAUGAUUUUCCCUCGCCCUUUUCGAGAUCCGACAAAAAGAGGAAUUGAAAGAGCUUGCGACGAUCAUGGCUAUAUCGCUGCAACAAAGAUCUAUUGUGGACUUGACUAUGAAUUUGAAUGUGGGCACUGGGCAUGCGCUAUUGCAGUCCGAUUAUGGUAUUUAGAAGAACCCAAUUGCUUUUUUUUUUUUCGAUUUGCAUCGAUCAGUUAAUUUGUUGAGUUAUUUCA
Molecule: long non-coding RNA, 255 nt
Organism: Pyrus x bretschneideri (Chinese white pear)
Lineage: Eukaryota; Viridiplantae; Streptophyta; Magnoliopsida; Rosales; Rosaceae
Exons: 2
Source: RefSeq, a predicted model, not a curated record